GCCCUGCACGACCAGCUGAACCGCCUCAAGGUGACCCCGCGGCCCUCUCCCGCUCCUCCUCCAUUCCUCCCGAGCGACCCCCCAACCUGGGCCUCUGCGGUGCAAACCCCCCAACCUCGGCCUCUGCGGUGACCACCUGCUGCGGUUGAAGAAUUAGCCCUCCAAUCAAUGAUCAGUUCUAGAAGAGGGGAUGAGAUGCUGUCUUCUCACACUGUACCUGAACAGUCACAUGAUAUGUUGGUGCAUGUAGACAAUGAAGCAUCAAUCAACCAAACGACCCUGGAGUUGAGCACAAAGAGUCAUGUGACGGAAGAGGAGGAGGAGGAAGAAGAGGAAGAAGAAGAAUCAGAUUCCUAAAGAAGGGGGAAAGCCAGGCUGGUCAGUUAUACAAAUUGCAUUUCUAAGUCUCAGGCUACUUCUUCUCAAGGAACUCGUCUUGCCCUGGGCCCUGUGAUCUGCUUGAAAGGAAAGCAAGAACUAUAAGGAGAAUGUGUAGUUGCAAAAAUGGCUCCAUCAGUAACUCAAGCUUCAGAAUGUUAUGACAUACAGAAAAUCAAAGAUGCUGUGUCUUAGCAUUGAGCAAUAUGGGUGGUGCUGUCUGUAAUCUGGUCAGAUUCGGUUAACUGUUCAAAACAAUUUCCUCUGAAAUACUGUUGAGAAAGUCUGGCAUUUGCAAAAAGAGCAGAGUUUAAAUACAAGCCAGUCUUUCCAGUCAACAAUGACUCUUUGAAGAAAACCAAUUAAAGGCUGUUUGCAUGCCACUGAAUCCUUGUGAGCAGUUAGCCCACAGUCUAGGACAAAGAUGACAAGGGGAAGGACUGAGGGCCAUCUGAGAGCACAAGCUUGCUACCUCUCGGAGGCAUUGAAAUAUUGCAUGCUAUAAACUGCUUUGUGUAGCUGUUACCACCUCUCACUUGAGACAUCACUCACUGGUAAAAUGUUUUUAUAAAUAAAUUAUAAAUAGCCAUCA
Molecule: RNA transcript, 970 nt
Organism: Rhinopithecus roxellana (golden snub-nosed monkey)
Lineage: Eukaryota; Metazoa; Chordata; Mammalia; Primates; Cercopithecidae
Gene name: snRNA-activating protein complex subunit 5 pseudogene
Exons: 2
Source: RefSeq, a predicted model, not a curated record